Molecule: ribosomal RNA, 493 nt
Filed under: uncultured bacterium
Lineage: Bacteria
Description: partial 16S ribosomal RNA
Rfam family: Bacterial small subunit ribosomal RNA
Source: RNAcentral
GACGAACGCUGGCGGCGUGCCUAACACAUGCAAGUUGAGCGACGAACCAGGGCUUGCCCUGGGGCAAAGCAGCGAACGGGUGAGUAACACGUGGGUAACCUACCCCGAUAACCGGGACAACCCGCGGCAACUCGGGCUAAUACCGGAUGUGCUCACUGGACUUCGGUUCAGUGCGUAAAGGAAGCUUCGGCCUCCGUAUCGGGAGGGGCCCGCGGCCCAUUAGUUUGUUGGUGAGGUAACGGCUCACCAAGACCGCGAUGGGUAGCUGGUCUGAGAGGACGAUCAGCCACACUGGGACUGAGACACGGCCCAGACUCCUACGGGAGGCAGCAGUGGGGAAUCUUGCGCAAUGCGCGAAAGCGUGACGCAGCAACGCCGCGUGGGGGAAGAAGGCCUUCGGGUUGUAAACCCCUUUCAGGAGGGACGAAGGUUCGGCGGUGAAUAGCCGUCCGGACUGACGGUACCUCCACAAGAAGCCCCGGCUAACUACGUG